RNAcentral lists this microRNA precursor (80 nucleotides) under Macacine gammaherpesvirus 4 (Rhesus lymphocryptovirus). RNAcentral describes it as "microRNA rlcv-mir-rL1 precursor (rlcv-mir-rL1-27)". Its record names the gene rlcv-mir-rL1-27. It matches the Rfam family "mir-BART10 microRNA precursor family". Lineage: Duplodnaviria; Heunggongvirae; Peploviricota; Herviviricetes; Herpesvirales; Orthoherpesviridae. The record is from miRBase by way of RNAcentral.
GGAGUGACCCGGAGCCGCCUCCUUGGUUCUGUCCACAUUUUGUUGCUGCACAUAACCAUGGAGGUGGUUGCGGUGCAGCC